GGUUUGAAUUUCUCUGUUCAAGGAAUGUUAGAUUCUUUCCUCUCCUCCUUUCCCUUCUUCCUUUCUAUAAUUCUCACUAUGAAAAUUUUUUUCUUGAGAAGUUUUUUCUUUAUCUCUACUGUGGCUCUCACUUUUUUCUAAUUAAUAGCCGAAUUAAAUACAAUUAACAACGUAGUACUCAUACUAAGUAAAACCCUACUCCCUUUUAAUCCUUAUACAGAAUGGGACUUGACAAAUGUGAUUUAUUUUGAAUAAGCAAUGAUAAGAAUUUUCACUUAAAAAUUAAGGAUGCACUUCAAUUUCAUUUCAUUGAGCAAAUGAACAAUAGAAUGUUGGAAUAAUUAGGCCGCUUUUGCCAACUCUAUAGAACAACUGUUACUUAGGUGACAUGUUUCCCUGACUUUGUUUUUUUGGUCCUUACCCAGACAAUUAUCAGCUUUCCAGUUUUCUAUGGAUAUGAAGAUUUACUCCUAGUCAUCAGUGGGACCCCAUGAAGUCAGCCAGAAAGCCUAUAUCCAACUUAUGUACCUUUGUAAAUUUGUCUGGAUUUUGAAUGUCAGGAAAAAAGCAGAAAAAUGGGAGAAAAUAUAUUGCCCAAAAAUUAAGACAACGUGUACCUCUUUGCAGUUACAUCUAGAAAGUUGGUUGGAGUCUGAAGUCAUAUUUAGAUAUGAGUUGGGAAUGAAGCACUAAAGCAUUGGUGCAUCGCUGUGAAGAUUUAACAUCUUUCAUCAAGUAAUCUUGAAGUUAACUUUCUGGCAUUUCUCAGGUAUGGAAGACCAUGCUUUUAAAAACAUUUUAAUAUCUCAUUUGUUUAUCUACUUAAAGAGCAUUCUAACCGAGAGAAAUAAGUAGCAUUUAUUUUUCAUGCAGUAUCUAGCAGACCACUGAUUCUUAAAACCAUCUGUAUGUAUUUGAAAAGCUUCAUAUUAUGUUUGGAAAGAAAGUUUAUUGAAUUUAUAAUGCUGAAGGGUCAGUGUACCUCCUAAAUAGAAUUGAAGAUUCACUUGUGCAUUAUUAGGAAUUGAUUCAUUCCUUCUAUUUUAUAGCUUCUUACUGAUUUUCUAGCAAAACAUAUUCCAAGGGACGCCAUUGCUAUAAUAACUGAAUAGGUAUGAUUACUCCUCCCCUCCAUAAGGUUCCUUCAUCAAAUAAGGAUUCGAAUCGAUGAUUAUAAUUAAAGAAUGGUGGGUAGGAUGUUUUUUAUUGUAGUAUCCUUCAAGAGAGUAUCUAAGUAGGAAUUGUUCUGAAUUCCCAGUAGGAGUCAGUAAUGCUUAUUAAGUACUUAACUGUGUGCCAUUCACUGUGCUAAGCAUUUUAUAGCUACAAUCAUAUUUAAUUCUUUUAAGAAUCAAAAAAAUUCUGAAGAACACAUUUCAGGAAGU
This is a non-coding RNA of Castor canadensis (American beaver), 1385 nucleotides long. Lineage: Eukaryota; Metazoa; Chordata; Mammalia; Rodentia; Castoridae. The record is from RefSeq and is a predicted model, not a curated record.